This 253-nucleotide ribosomal RNA is filed under the name uncultured bacterium. RNAcentral describes it as "partial 16S ribosomal RNA". It matches the Rfam family "Bacterial small subunit ribosomal RNA", at positions 524 to 776 of the family's 1533-position model. The record is from RNAcentral.
GACGGAGGAUGCAAGCGUUAUCCGGAAUUAUUGGGCGUAAAGCGUCCGUAGGUGGUUUUAAAAGUCUGUUGUUAAAGCUCACAGCUCAACUGUGAAUCGGCAAUGGAAACUGUAGGACUAGAGUGUGGUAGGGGUAGAGGGAAUUCCUAGUGUAGCGGUGAAAUGCGUAGAUAUUAGGAAGAACACCAGUGGCGAAGGCGCUCUACUGGGCCAUAACUGACACUGAUGGACGAAAGCUAGGGGAGCGAAAGGG